ACCCAAUAGAUACCCUGGUAGUCCCAGCCGUAAACUAUGCUCGCUAGGUGUCAGGCAUGGCGCGACCGUGUCUGGUGCCGCAGGGAAGCCGUGAAGCGAGCCACCUGGGAAGUACGGCCGCAAGGCUGAAACUUAAAGGAAUUGGCGGGGGAGCACAACAACGGGUGGAGCCUGCGGUUUAAUUGGACUCAACGCCGGACAACUCACCGGGAACGACAGCAAUAUGUAGGCCAGGCUGAAGACCUUGCCUGAAUCGCUGAGAGGAGGUGCAUGGCCGUCGCCAGUUCGUACUGUGAAGCAUCCUGUUAAGUCAGGCAACGAGCGAGACCCGUGCCCACUGUUACCAGCAUAUCCUCCGGGAUGAUGGGUACUCUGUGGGGACCGCUGAUGUUAAAUCAGAGGAAGGUGCGGGCUACGGUAGGUCAGUAUGCCCCGAAUUUCCCGGGCUACACGCGGGCUACAAUGAAUGGGACAAUGGCCCUACCCUGAAAAGGGUUGGUAAUCUCACAAACCCAUCCGUAGUUCGGAUUGAGGGCU
This 537-nucleotide ribosomal RNA is filed under the name uncultured bacterium. Its description in RNAcentral is "bacterial SSU rRNA". It matches the Rfam family "Archaeal small subunit ribosomal RNA", at positions 722 to 1262 of the family's 1478-position model. The record is from RNAcentral.